UACGUAGGGAGCAAGCGUUGUCCGGAAUCAUUGGGCGUAAAGCGCGCGUAGGCGGCCCUGUAAGUCCGUUGUGAAAGUCAAAGGCUCAACCUUUGAAAGCCGAUGGAUACUGCAGGGCUAGAGUCCGGAAGAGGCGAGUGGAAUUCCUGGUGUAGCGGUGGAAUGCGCAGAUAUCAGGAGGAACACCAAUAGCGAAGGCAGCUCGCUGGGACGGUACUGACGCUAAGGCGCGAAAAGCGUGGGGAGCGAACGAGG
Molecule: ribosomal RNA, 255 nt
Filed under: uncultured bacterium
Lineage: Bacteria
Description: partial 16S ribosomal RNA
Rfam family: Bacterial small subunit ribosomal RNA
Source: RNAcentral